GCAUGCGGCAGCUACCAUGCAGUCGACGAUGAUGCCCAGCUUGCUGGGCGGAUUAGUGGCGAACGGGUGAGUAAUACGUGAGUAACCUGCCCUUGACUCUGGGAUAAGCCUGGGAAACUGGGUCUAAUACUGGAUACUACCUCUUGCCGCAUGGUGGGUGGUGGAAAGGGUUUUACUGGUUUUGGAUGGGCUCACGGCCUAUCAGCUUGUUGGUGGGGUAAUGGCUCACCAAGGCGACGACGGGUAGCCGGCCUGAGAGGGUGACCGGCCACACUGGGACUGAGACACGGCCCAGACUCCUACGGGAGGCAGCAGUGGGGAAUAUUGCACAAUGGGCGGAAGCCUGAUGCAGCGACGCCGCGUGAGGGAUGACGGCCUUCGGGUUGUAAACCUCUUUCAGUAGGGAAGAAGCGAGAGUGACGGUACCUGCAGAAGAAGCGCCGGCUAACUACGUGCCAGCAGCCGCGGUAAUACGUAGGGCGCAAGCGUUGUCCGGAAUUAUUGGGCGUAAAGAGCUCGUAGGCGGUUUGUCGCGUCUGCUGUGAAAGCCCGGGGCUCAACCCCGGGUCUGCAGUGGGUACGGGCAGACUAGAGUGCAGUAGGGGAGACUGGAAUUCCUGGUGUAGCGGUGAAAUGCGCAGAUAUCAGGAGGAACACCGAUGGCGAAGGCAGGUCUCUGGGCUGUUACUGACGCUGAGGAGCGAAAGCAUGGGGAGCGAACAGGAUUAGAUACCCUGGUAGUCCAUGCCGUAAACGUUGGGCACUAGGUGUGGGGGACAUUCCACGUUUUCCGCGCCGUAGCUAACGCAUUAAGUGCCCCGCCUGGGGAGUACGGCCGCAAGGCUAAAACUCAAAGGAAUUGACGGGGGCCCGCACAAGCGGCGGAGCAUGCGGAUUAAUUCGAUGCAACGCGAAGAACCUUACCAAGGCUUGACAUUCACCGGACCGCCCCAGAGAUGGGGUUUCCCUUCGGGGCUGGUGGACAGGUGGUGCAUGGUUGUCGUCAGCUCGUGUCGUGAGAUGUUGGGUUAAGUCCCGCAACGAGCGCAACCCUCGUUCUAUGUUGCCAGCACGUGAUGGUGGGGACUCAUAGGAGACUGCCGGGGUCAACUCGGAGGAAGGUGGGGAUGACG
Molecule: ribosomal RNA, 1133 nt
Filed under: Kocuria sp.
Lineage: Bacteria; Bacillati; Actinomycetota; Actinomycetes; Micrococcales; Micrococcaceae
Description: bacterial SSU rRNA
Rfam family: Bacterial small subunit ribosomal RNA
Source: RNAcentral